This 222-nucleotide ribosomal RNA is filed under the name uncultured bacterium. Its description in RNAcentral is "partial 16S ribosomal RNA". It matches the Rfam family "Bacterial small subunit ribosomal RNA", at positions 109 to 334 of the family's 1533-position model. The record is from RNAcentral.
AGUAAUGUAUGGGGAUCUGCCUGAUGGCGGGGGAUAACUACUGGAAACGGUAGCUAAUACCGCAUAAUGUCUGCGGACCAAAGCGGGGGACCUCCGGGCCUCUUGCCAUCAGAUGAACCCAUAUGGGAUUAGCUUGUAGGUAAGGUAACGGCUUACCUAGGCGACGAUCCCUAGCUGGUCUGAGAGGAUGAUCAGCCACACUGGGACUGAGACACGGCCCAG